AUUGAACGCUGGCGGCAUGCCUUACACAUGCAAGUCGAACGGUAACGGGCCUUCGGGUGCCGACGAGUGGCGCACGGGUGAGUAAUACAUCGGAACGUGCCCGAUCGUGGGGGAUAACGAGGCGAAAGCUUUGCUAAUACCGCAUACGAUCUACGGAUGAAAGCGGGGGAGCGCAAGGCCUUGCGCGGACGGAGCGGCCGAUGGCAGAUUAGGUAGUUGGUGGGAUAAAAGCUUACCAAGCCGACGAUCUGUAGCUGGUCUGAGAGGAUGAUCAGCCACACUGGGACUGAGACACGGCCCAGACUCCUACGGGAGGCAGCAGUGGGGAAUUUUGGACAAUGGGCGCAAGCCUGAUCCAGCCAUGCCGCGUGCAGGAUGAAGGCCUUCGGGUUGUAAACUGCUUUUGUACGGAACGAAAAGCCUUCUUUUAAUACAGGAGGGUCAUGACGGUACCGUAAGAAUAAGCACCGGCUAACUACGUG
RNAcentral lists this ribosomal RNA (482 nucleotides) under uncultured bacterium. Its description in RNAcentral is "partial 16S ribosomal RNA". It matches the Rfam family "Bacterial small subunit ribosomal RNA", at positions 30 to 507 of the family's 1533-position model. The record is from RNAcentral.